This 465-nucleotide ribosomal RNA is filed under the name uncultured bacterium. RNAcentral's name for it is "partial 16S ribosomal RNA". It matches the Rfam family "Bacterial small subunit ribosomal RNA", at positions 339 to 795 of the family's 1533-position model. The record is from RNAcentral.
CUACGGGCUGCUCCAGUGGGGAAUAUUGGACAAUGGGGGCAACCCUGAUCCAGCCAUGCCGCGUGUGUGAAGAAGGCCCUUUGGUUGUAAAGCACUUUAAGCGAGGAGGAGGCUACUGGUACUAAUAUUACCAGCUAGUGGACGUUACUCGCAGAAUAAGCACCGGCUAACUCUGUGCCAGCAGCCGCGGUAAUACAGAGGGUGCGAGCGUUAAUCGGAAUUACUGGGCGUAAAGCGCGCGUAGGCGGUUUGUUAAGUCGGAUGUGAAAUCCCCGGGCUCAACCUGGGAAUUGCAUUCGAUACUGGCAAGCUAGAGUAUGGGAGAGGAAGGUAGAAUUCCAGGUGUAGCGGUGAAAUGCGUAGAGAUCUGGAGGAAUACCGAUGGCGAAGGCAGCCUUCUGGCCUAAUACUGACGCUGAGGUGCGAAAGCAUGGGGAGCAAACAGGAUUAGAUACCCCCGUAGUC